Molecule: ribosomal RNA, 253 nt
Filed under: uncultured bacterium
Lineage: Bacteria
Description: partial 16S ribosomal RNA
Rfam family: Bacterial small subunit ribosomal RNA
Source: RNAcentral
UACGAAGGGGGCUAGCGUUGUCCGGAAUCAUUGGGCGUAAAGCGCGUGUAGGCGGCCAGGUAGGUCAGCUGUGAAAACUGGAGGCUCAACCUUCAGACGUCGGCUGAAACCAUCUGGCUAGAGUCCGGGAGAGGAGAGUGGAAUUUCCGGUGUAGCGGUGAAAUGCGUAGAUAUCGGAAGGAACAUCAGUGGCGAAGGCGACUUCCUGGACCAAUACUGACGCUCAGGUGCGAAAGCGUGGGGAGCAAACAGG